This 20-nucleotide ribosomal RNA is filed under the name Phyllozyma subbrunnea. Its description in RNAcentral is "partial 26S rRNA". The record is from RNAcentral. Lineage: Eukaryota; Fungi; Basidiomycota; Spiculogloeomycetes; Spiculogloeales; Spiculogloeaceae.
CGACCUCAAAUCAAGUAAGA